CGCGUAGGUGGAACGGUAAGUGAGGGGUGAAAUCCCGAGGCUUAACUUCGGAAUGGCCUUUCAUACUGCCGGUCUCGAGUGCGAGAGGGGAAGAUGGAAUUCCUGGUGUAGCGGUGGAAUGCGUAGAUAUCAGGAAGAACACCGGUGGCGAAGGCGGUCUUCUGGCUCGUAACUGACACUGAGGCGCGAAAGCGUGGGGAGCAAACAGGAUUAGAUACCCUGGUAGUCCACGCCGUAAACUAUGAACACUAGGUGUUGGAGGCUUCGACCCCUUCAGUGCCGCAGCUAACGCGUUAAGUGUUCCGCCUGGGGAGUACGGUCGCAAGGCUGAA
This 332-nucleotide ribosomal RNA is filed under the name uncultured bacterium. RNAcentral describes it as "bacterial SSU rRNA". It matches the Rfam family "Bacterial small subunit ribosomal RNA", at positions 568 to 898 of the family's 1533-position model. The record is from RNAcentral.